This 302-nucleotide unclassified non-coding RNA is filed under the name uncultured Didymellaceae. RNAcentral's name for it is "sequence contains ITS1". The stretch from base 1 to 105 matches the Rfam family "5.8S ribosomal RNA", at positions 50 to 154 of the family's 154-position model. The record is from RNAcentral. Lineage: Eukaryota; Fungi; Ascomycota; Dothideomycetes; Pleosporales; Didymellaceae.
GAAAUGCGAUAAGUAGUGUGAAUUGCAGAAUUCAGUGAAUCAUCGAAUCUUUGAACGCACAUUGCGCCCCUUGGUAUUCCAUGGGGCAUGCCUGUUCGAGCGUCAUUUGUACCUUCAAGCCUUGCUUGGUGUUGGGUGUUUGUCUCGCCUCUGCGCGCAGACUCGCCUCAAAACAAUUGGCAGCCGGCGUAUUGAUUUCGGAGCGCAGUACAUCUCGCGCUUUGCACUCAGAACGACGACGUCCAAAAGUACAUUUUUACACUCUUGACCUCGGAUCAGGUAGGGAUACCCGCUGAACUUAA